CGGUGGGGACGCGGAGACUGCGCGCACAAGGAGGACGCGGGCGUGCGUUGCUUGGGUCUGGGAAGAUCUGAGGCAUCUCCUGAAGAAGCGAUCUAUGAUGUCAUUGGGGAAAUGCCACUAGCAGGACUGUACGAGGAAAUCGUGGAGGCCGAGGCCGUGCCCCAGGAUGAGGAGGACGCAGGUGUGGUGAAGGUGGACACAGAAACAGCAGUUUCAGGGGAGGCGUCUAACCUCCUGGAGGGACAGUCUACACGUGCAGAGGGAGGAACCAACAGACCCGUUUCUCAGGGAUAUGACGAGGCUGCGUUUCCGCUGGAGGAUAUGACAUUUUAAAGCACCCUGAGGAGGAGAUCCACCAGCUGGCUGUCGAAAUCACAGCUCUUCAUUCUCUUGUACAAUUGUAGUGGAUUUCGUGAGAACGUCUUGGAUGAAUUUCUCUUGCAAUGUCCUCCACAUCCGUAUAAAAUCCAGUCUUUCCAGGCCCUGCCUGGCUCUAACCCCCAUCCCCUUCGAGGGCCAUCUGCUGUGGACGGUUGGGCUGGGUAACCUUCAGAUUUCUCACACAUUAUAGCAAACGCAAAUAUGUAUAGAAAUCAGUGGUUACGUUUGUGGUUUAGAGACACAUGGUGUCAUCUUCAUCUUCUGCACCCAGCAGUGCGUUGCAGAACUUCUCAUGCCAGAACAUUCCUCUUUUUUCUUAAAAACUCUUCUUAAUUGAAUCCAAAGUAUCUUUUAGAUAUCUACUUGUGUAAUCAUGUCAUCCGUGAAUAUUCAGAUUUAUCUUCUCCUUCCAAUCCAUGUACCUUUAAUCUCUUUUUCUGUGCUUUAUUUUGUGGACUGGGACCCUUCAGUCCAGUGUUGAAUAGAGGCAGCCAAUGGGGAUCUUGUCUCAUUCAUGGACUCAGAGCAAACGUGUUCCACAUUUAAUUUCACUAUUAAAUAUAAUAUUUGAUGUUCGGUUUUGUAGAUGCUAUUUAUCAGAUCAAGGAAAGCCCAGUCUAUCCCUAAUUUGUUAAGGGUUUUGCUUUUUAUCAUAAAUAAGUGUUGACUUUUAUGAAAUUCUUUUUGGUAUCUAUUAAGAUGAUAGAUGAUUUGAUUUUCAUAUGUUACAUUAACCAUGGGUUAAACAAACUUACCUUUAUCAUGAUAUAUUAUUCUUUUUGUAUUUCACAGGAAUUAGUUUGGUAAUACAUUGGGUCAGUGUUUAAAAAAGAAAAUGAUGUGUGAUUUUUUUCUUUUGUUGUAGUAUUUCUGUUUAAUUUUUGCUAUGAGGAUUAUUCAGGUACCAUAAGAGGUAGGAGUAUAUUCUCUUUUUAAAAAUAUUUGCUAAUUUAGGCUCCCACCAACAGUGUAAAAAUGUUCCUAUUU
RNA transcript from Piliocolobus tephrosceles (Ugandan red Colobus), 1368 nucleotides. It is a transcript of the gene named scavenger receptor family member expressed on T cells 1, with no coding region annotated. Lineage: Eukaryota; Metazoa; Chordata; Mammalia; Primates; Cercopithecidae. The transcript has 3 exons. The record is from RefSeq and is a predicted model, not a curated record.